This is a long non-coding RNA of Hipposideros armiger (great roundleaf bat), 989 nucleotides long. RefSeq lists it as uncharacterized. NCBI's taxonomy places the organism in Eukaryota, Metazoa, Chordata, Mammalia, Chiroptera, Hipposideridae. The record is from RefSeq and is a predicted model, not a curated record. The transcript has 5 exons.
CUCCACGAGAGCAUUAACCCUUCUGGGCCGGGCUGCCGGCUGAGAAUCACUGCGUUCACAGUCGGAUUCAGGAUAACUAAGAGAAUGUGGAUGGCUACAUAGUUUAUUACCAUUUUUGGAAAAGAAAGAGCAUGUGACCUGGUGAUGUUGGGUCAAUGACUCACUAUAAUAAACCACCCAAGAAUAGGUUAAGGCACUUAGCCAGAGCUUGUUCUGCUGCGAUUAACCAUCUGAGGAGAAUUGACUGUUGGUUCUAUCAUUUCCUCAACCAACCCUACUCUACUGGUUAUAAAAGAGGAGGAAAUACCUGGGAAGGCAGCAACUCCUGAACAGGCAUCAUGGCAUGAAAAAGAUUCUGGAUGGCACGGUAUUAUUAUCCAUGUUAGGAGAAAUUCUCAGUAAGCAGCGCCUGAAGAGCUAAGGAAACUUAGAGCCCGCAGAGAGCACCUGCCUGCUGACGCGUGAAUACUGAAAAUUCAGAAUCCUUCACCUGCUCAAAGGCUGCCUUGUAAGAUACGUUGCUUGGUAGCAGGCCAAGGAGGUGGGUGGUCAACUGAAUUGGAGGAAGAUCUCCCCUGUUCUUGGCAAUGGCAUGGUGACCUCUUGUUGCUGAAUGAGGAUUGCUUCCAAGUUAAACACUGGGGAAAACUGAAACCAGAUCUCUGGGAGACUGUUGGCUUGGCACAUGGAAUCCAGAAUUUAGUAAAAUGAAAGUGGAUGGCACUGGACAGCAUUUCAACUCCAACAGUAUGCUGCUGGGUGAGCGUGAGUGGGUAGAGAGAGCAUGUGGAUAAUGGCAUCAGGUUGGGGUAAACAGGGUGAUAAUGAUUAAAAGAGCUAAUAUUUGUGAAGGGCCAUAUAGAAUAUAAAGCUUUUCUACAUAGAUCUUACUUGAUUCUCACAAUACCUGGGAGAUAAUUUUAGUAUGCUAUUUUUUUAUUGUGGUAAAAUAAAAUUUACCAUUUGAACCCUUUGUAAGUAUACAAUUC